CGAAGGGCUUCGCCCUUCGAUGUUAUAUUCCGCCCCUUCGGGGCU
Molecule: small RNA, 45 nt
Filed under: Lentimicrobium saccharophilum
Lineage: Bacteria; Pseudomonadati; Bacteroidota; Bacteroidia; Bacteroidales; Lentimicrobiaceae
Description: Acido-Lenti-1 RNA
Rfam family: Acido-Lenti-1 RNA
Source: Rfam by way of RNAcentral